GGGCACUUGGCACAGUUGGUAGCGCGCACGCUUCGCAUUAAGAUUGCGUGAGGUCGUGGGUUCAACUCCCACAGUGUCCA
Molecule: transfer RNA, 80 nt
Filed under: Suillus brevipes Sb2
Lineage: Eukaryota; Fungi; Basidiomycota; Agaricomycetes; Boletales; Suillaceae
Description: tRNA-Ala
Rfam family: tRNA
About the family: Transfer RNA (tRNA) molecules are approximately 80 nucleotides in length. Their secondary structure includes four short double-helical elements and three loops (D, anti-codon, and T loops).
Source: RNAcentral